AAUAGUUUUAUGCUACAUCAGUACUCUUAUCCUGAAUUUCAAGAUUUUAUCCUGAAAAAAAAAUCAAAUCCAAAUUAAAAUACUAAAAUUCAGGAGAAAAUCUUGAAAUUCAGGAUAAGAAUACUGAUGUGGCAUAAAACUAUU
This 144-nucleotide microRNA precursor is filed under the name Gossypium hirsutum (cotton). RNAcentral's name for it is "MIR7504 microRNA precursor family". It matches the Rfam family "MIR7504 microRNA precursor family". The record is from Rfam by way of RNAcentral. Lineage: Eukaryota; Viridiplantae; Streptophyta; Magnoliopsida; Malvales; Malvaceae.